This 62-nucleotide transfer RNA is filed under the name Leptura arcuata. Its description in RNAcentral is "tRNA-Arg". Lineage: Eukaryota; Metazoa; Arthropoda; Insecta; Coleoptera; Cerambycidae. The record is from RNAcentral.
AAUAAGAAGCAAAAUUUUGCCUUUAGUUUCGACCUAAAAAUUUGAUGACACCAUCCUUAUUU